RNAcentral lists this ribosomal RNA (494 nucleotides) under uncultured bacterium. Its description in RNAcentral is "partial 16S ribosomal RNA". It matches the Rfam family "Bacterial small subunit ribosomal RNA", at positions 28 to 507 of the family's 1533-position model. The record is from RNAcentral.
GACGAACGCUGGCGGCGUGCUUAACACAUGCAAGUCGAACGGAAAGGCCUGCUUUCCCUUGUGGAUUGCGGGUACUCGAGUGGCGAACGGGUGAGUAACACGUGAGUGAUCUGCCCCCAACUUGGGUAUAAGCCUGGGAAACUGGGUCUAAUUCCCGAUAGGACUGCAGGGUGGUGCCUGUGGUGGAACACGAUUUUCUAGUGGUUGGGGAUGAGCUCGCGGCCUAUCAGCUUGUUGGUGGGGUAAUGGCCUACCAAGGCGGCGACGGGUAGCCGGCCUGAGAGGGUGGACGGCCAAAUUGGGACUGAGAUACGGCCCAGACUCCUACGGGAGGCAGCAGUGGGGAAUAUUGCACAAUGGGCGGAAGCCUGAUGCAGCGACGCCGCGUGGGGGAUGACGGCCUUCGGGUUGUAAACUCCUUUCGACCGCGAGGAAGCCACCUGGUUGGAAGGGUGGUGACGGUAGUGGUAGAAGAAGCACCGGCUAACUACGUG